RNAcentral lists this ribosomal RNA (492 nucleotides) under uncultured bacterium. RNAcentral's name for it is "partial 16S ribosomal RNA". It matches the Rfam family "Bacterial small subunit ribosomal RNA", at positions 29 to 507 of the family's 1533-position model. The record is from RNAcentral.
AGUGAACGCUGGCGGUAGGCCUAACACAUGCAAGUCGAACGGCAGCACAGUAAGAGCUUGCUCUUACGGGUGGCGAGUGGCGGGCGGGUGAGGAAUACAUCGGAAUCUACUUUUUCGUGGGGGAUAACGUAGGGAAACUUACGCUAAUACCGCAUACGACCUACGGGUGAAAGCAGGGGAUCUUCGGACCUUGCGCGAUUGAAUGAGCCGAUGUCGGAUUAGCUAGUUGGCGGGGUAAAGGCCCACCAAGGCGACGAUCCGUAGCUGGUCUGAGAGGAUGAUCAGCCACACUGGAACUGAGACACGGUCCAGACUCCUACGGGAGGCAGCAGUGGGGAAUAUUGGACAAUGGGCGCAAGCCUGUUCCAGCCAUACCGCGUGGGUGAAGAAGGCCUUCGGGUUGUAAAGCCCUUUUGUUGGGAAAGAAAAGCAGCAGGUUAAUACCCCGCUGUUCUGACGGUACCCAAAGAAUAAGCACCGGCUAACUUCGUG